UUCAUUCUCUGAACAAGAACCUUCUGUAGAGCAGAUUUUAAAUUUUAAUGAAGUUCAGCUUAAUUUUUUUCUUUCAUGGUUUGCUUUCUCUGUGUUUCAUCUGAAAAGUCAUCAAUACAUCGAAGAUCAUUGAAGUUUUCUUCUACAUUUUCUUCUGGAAGUUUUAUAGUUUUGUAUUUCACAUUUAUGCCUAUAAUACAUUUAUAGAUAGUUUCUCUGAAAAGUGUAAAGUCUGUAUCUAGAUAUUGUUUCACAUUUGGAUGUCUACUAUUCCAAGGCCAUUUGUGAAAGGAUUAUCAUUUCUUCAAGGAGUUGCCUUUGCUUCUCUGUCAAAAAUCAGUUGACUGUAUUUAGGGCCAUUUUUUCUGGGGAAGCCAGCCACUGUGGCAUGAGGACCCUCUGCUAUUGCCAUGGAGAGAGACAUACUGCAAAGAACUGAGGCUUCCUGCCAACACUCACAGGUCACACAGAGAGAGAGAGAGAGGCAGAGACACAGGCAGAGGGAGAAGCAGGC
This is a long non-coding RNA of Canis lupus familiaris (dog), 514 nucleotides long. RefSeq lists it as uncharacterized. Lineage: Eukaryota; Metazoa; Chordata; Mammalia; Carnivora; Canidae. The transcript is spliced from 3 exons. The record is from RefSeq and is a predicted model, not a curated record.